GACGAACGCUGGCGGCGUGCUUAACACAUGCAAGUCGAGCGGAAAGGCCAUGCUUUUGUUGCGUGCUCGAGUGGCGAACGGGUGAGUGACACAUGAGUAACCUGCCCUUGACUUUGUGAUAACUUCAGGAAACUGGGGCUCAUACCGGAUAGGAGCUCCUGCUGCAUGUUGGUGGAUAGUGAGAUUCGGCGGUUGGGGAUGGUCUCGCUGCUUAUCAGCUUGUUGGGGGGGUAGUGGCUUACCAGGGCUAUGACGGCUAGCCGGCCUGGGAGGGUGACCGGGGACAUGGGUACUGAGAGACGGCCCAGACUGCAACCGGACGCAGCAGGGGAGAAUAUUGCACAAUGGGGGCAAGUCUGAGGUAGCAACGCCGCGUGCGGGAUGACGGCUUUCGGGUUGUAAACCGCUGUCGACGUAAAUGAAGAGGGAGUGACGGUAAUGGGUAAAGAAGCACCGGCUAACUACGUG
Molecule: ribosomal RNA, 468 nt
Filed under: uncultured bacterium
Lineage: Bacteria
Description: partial 16S ribosomal RNA
Rfam family: Bacterial small subunit ribosomal RNA
Source: RNAcentral